This 288-nucleotide long non-coding RNA is filed under the name Callithrix jacchus (white-tufted-ear marmoset). Its description in RNAcentral is "lncRNA (ENSCJAG00000082430.1)". The record is from RNAcentral. Lineage: Eukaryota; Metazoa; Chordata; Mammalia; Primates; Cebidae.
AUGGAAACCUGGGAUGGCAGCACAGGAAAGGAAAGAAUACUCUGCCACCCUGUGCACUCAGGAUCAGUGUGGAACCAGGAGAGACUUCUUCCUGCAGGAAAAAGCAAACCAAGAGAGUCGUUUCUGUGCAGCACUGACAUUCCCAGGGGCACCACCUGCCCACCCACCCUGAGCAUCCCUCUGCUCAGCCUGCUGGAGCCAGGCUUUCCAGGUCAUGCAGUCUUGGACAGGUCAAGUGGGGCAAAGGCAAUGCCAAGGAAGAUGCUGUGUCCCUUCUGACAGGUAAGA